GGCAACUGGUUUCUCUUCAGAUCACAUAAAUCUUUUGCCUUUUACUAAAGAUUUCCAUGGAGAAGAACAGGCACGAGUGUUGAGGAAUUUUUAUUACCUUUUUUUUUUAUUUUUU
This 115-nucleotide small nuclear RNA is filed under the name Eurypyga helias (sunbittern). RNAcentral describes it as "U5 spliceosomal RNA". It matches the Rfam family "U5 spliceosomal RNA". From Rfam's summary of the family: U5 RNA is a component of both types of known spliceosome. The precise function of this molecule is unknown, though it is known that the 5' loop is required for splice site selection and p220 binding, and that both the 3' stem-loop and the Sm site are important for Sm protein binding and cap methylation. The record is from Rfam by way of RNAcentral. Lineage: Eukaryota; Metazoa; Chordata; Aves; Eurypygiformes; Eurypygidae.